AAAUGGAUUUUCCUAAGAUUAGCCAUGCAUGUCUAAGUAUAAGCAAUCUAUACGGUGAAACUGCGAAUGGCUCAUUAAAUCAGUUAUCGUUUAUUUGAUAGUACCUUGCUACAUGGAUACCUGUGGUAAUUCUAGAGCUAAUACAUGCUGAAAACCUCGACUUCGGAAGGGGUGUAUUUAUUAGAUAAAAAACCAAUGCCCUUCGGGGCUCCUUGGUGAUUCAUAAUAACUUAACGAAUCGCAUGGCCUUGCGCCGGCGAUGGUUCAUUCAAAUUUCUGCCCUAUCAACUUUCGAUGGUAGGAUAGUGGCCUACCAUGGUGGCAACGGGUAACGGGGAAAUUAGGGUUUCAAUUCCGGAAGAGGGAAGCCCUGGAAAAAA
RNAcentral lists this ribosomal RNA (380 nucleotides) under Paecilomyces sp. AM219. RNAcentral's name for it is "bacterial SSU rRNA". It matches the Rfam family "Eukaryotic small subunit ribosomal RNA", at positions 33 to 405 of the family's 1831-position model. Lineage: Eukaryota; Fungi; Ascomycota; Eurotiomycetes; Eurotiales; Thermoascaceae. The record is from RNAcentral.